CUCCAAUCAAAUCAUACUGGCAUUUCUCGGUUACAAAUACUACAUGGUAAAACAAAGGUAAUGUCAAUACGUGGCUAUAUCAUUGCUUUUCACUUGAAACCUUCGUAUUAAUAUUUCAGUUUGUAGAGAUUCCAAUGCAAUGGACCUGUUGAGGCACGCUUGUAAAUAUGACAUUUCUGAGGCUAAUAAUCUAUCGCGUUCACGCGGAAAAGUUAUGUCUAGACUUACUCUCACUCAUGUCACAAAGAUAGAAUAUAAAAAAAUUAAUUGCUGACCAUUGUUGUGUCAUGGAACCAGAAUGGCGAGCAUGAUAAUGUCGGUCAGUUACAAAUUCAACAAAAAAUCAUCGUCGCCACAAGACCUUGUUAUUGAUUAUGUGCAAAAGGCAAGGGAAAUGAGGGAUCGUGCAGUUGAAUAUUUUUCAAGACUAGACCAGCAGGGGACUAGAACUGAACGCCCACAUCCAGUUCGCUA
This is a long non-coding RNA of Triticum aestivum (bread wheat), 474 nucleotides long. RefSeq lists it as uncharacterized. Lineage: Eukaryota; Viridiplantae; Streptophyta; Magnoliopsida; Poales; Poaceae. The record is from RefSeq and is a predicted model, not a curated record. The transcript is spliced from 2 exons.